Molecule: ribosomal RNA, 425 nt
Filed under: uncultured bacterium
Lineage: Bacteria
Description: partial 16S ribosomal RNA
Rfam family: Bacterial small subunit ribosomal RNA
Source: RNAcentral
GUGGGGAAUCUUGCGCAAUGGGCGAAAGCCUGACGCAGCCAUGCCGCGUGAAUGAUGAAGGUCUUAGGAUUGUAAAAUUCUUUCACCGGGGACGAUAAUGACGGUACCCGGAGAAGAAGCCCCGGCUAACUUCGUGCCAGCAGCCGCGGUAAUACGAAGGGGGCUAGCGUUGCUCGGAAUUACUGGGCGUAAAGGGAGCGUAGGCGGAUAGUUUAGUCAGAGGUGAAAGCCCAGGGCUCAACCUUGGAAUUGCCUUUGAUACUGGCUAUCUUGAGUAUGGAAGAGGUAUGUGGAACUCCGAGUGUAGAGGUGAAAUUCGUAGAUAUUCGGAAGAACACCAGUGGCGAAGGCGACAUACUGGUCCAUUACUGACGCUGAGGCUCGAAAGCGUGGGGAGCAAACAGGAUUAGAAACCCCGGUAGUCC